This 460-nucleotide ribosomal RNA is filed under the name uncultured bacterium. RNAcentral describes it as "partial 16S ribosomal RNA". It matches the Rfam family "Bacterial small subunit ribosomal RNA", at positions 338 to 795 of the family's 1533-position model. The record is from RNAcentral.
CCUACGGGUGGCAGCAGUGAGGAAUAUUGGUCAAUGGACGAGAGUCUGAACCAGCCAAGUAGCGUGAAGGAUGACUGCCCUAUGGGUUGUAAACUUCUUUUAUAUGGGAAUAAAAUGUUCCACGUGUGGGAUUUUGUAUGUACCAUAUGAAUAAGGAUCGGCUAACUCCGUGCCAGCAGCCGCGGUAAUACGGGGGAUCCGAGCGUUUUACGGAUUUUUUGGGUUUAAAGGGGGCGUAGGUGGAUUUGUAAGUCAGUUGUGAAAGUUUGCGGGUCAACCGUAAAAUUGCAGUUGAAACUGGCAGUCUUGAGUACAGUAGAGGUAGGCGGAAUGCGCGGUGUAGCGGUGAAAUGCUUAGAUAUCACGAAGAACUCCGAUUGCGAAGGCAGUUCACUGGAUUGAAACUGACACUGAGGCUCGAAAGUGUGGGUAUCAAACAGGAUUAGAUACCCGAGUAGUC